CCCUGGUUAGCUCAGUUGGUAGAGCGCUCCACUCGUAAUGGAGAGGUCCCGGGUUCGAUACCCGGACCAGGCG
Ixodes scapularis (black-legged tick) is the source of this 73-nucleotide non-coding RNA. The record is from Rfam. Lineage: Eukaryota; Metazoa; Arthropoda; Arachnida; Ixodida; Ixodidae.